This 463-nucleotide ribosomal RNA is filed under the name uncultured bacterium. Its description in RNAcentral is "partial 16S ribosomal RNA". It matches the Rfam family "Bacterial small subunit ribosomal RNA", at positions 28 to 507 of the family's 1533-position model. The record is from RNAcentral.
GACGAACGCUGGCGGCGUGCUUAACACAUGCAAGUCGAACGGUAAGGCCCUUCGGGGUACACGAGUGGCGAACGGGUGAGUAACGCGUGAGUAACCUGCCCUUCACUCUGGGAUAACAGUUGGAAACGGCUGCUAAUACCGGAUAUUCAGCUCCUGUCUCAUGGUGGGGGUUGGAAAGUUUUGGUGGUGGAGGAUGGGCUCGCGUCCUAUCAGCUUGUUGGUGGGGUGAUGGCCUACCAAGGCGUCGACGGGUAGCCGGCCUGAGAGGGCGACCGGCCACAUUGGGACUGAGAUACGGACCAAACUCCUACGGGAGGCAGCAGUGGGGAAUAUUGCACAAUGGGCGGAAGCCUGAUGCAGCAACGCCGCGUGCGGGAUGACGGCCUUCGGGUUGUAAACCGCUUUCAGCAGGGACGAAGCGCAAGUGACGGUACCUGCAGAAGAAGCACCGGCUAACUACGUG